RNAcentral lists this transfer RNA (89 nucleotides) under Nocardia seriolae. RNAcentral's name for it is "tRNA-Leu". The record is from RNAcentral. Lineage: Bacteria; Bacillati; Actinomycetota; Actinomycetes; Mycobacteriales; Nocardiaceae. RNAcentral also lists the same sequence under 1 other name.
GUGCGGGCUGGUCCGGGAAUUGGGGCGAUUUCGGUGAGGCCGCACCCGGGCGCUAUGCCCAGCCAGGGUGCUACGCCCAGCCCGGGUGC